This 252-nucleotide ribosomal RNA is filed under the name uncultured prokaryote. RNAcentral's name for it is "partial 16S rRNA". It matches the Rfam family "Bacterial small subunit ribosomal RNA", at positions 525 to 775 of the family's 1533-position model. The record is from RNAcentral.
ACAGAGGUGGCUAGCGUUGUUCGGAUUCAUUGGGUGUAAAGGGUGCGUAGGCGGUUUGGAAAGUCAGAUGUGAAAUCCUACAGCUCAACUGUAGAACUGCAUUUGAAACUCCCAGGCUAGAGUGUGAGAGAGGUGAAGGGAAUUCCCGGUGUAAGGGUGAAAUCUGCAGAGAUCGGGAAGAACACCAGUAGCGAAGGCGAUUCACUGGCUCGCAACUGAUGCUGAGUGCACGAAGGCGUGGGGAGCAAACGG